Molecule: small RNA, 1850 nt
Filed under: Pongo abelii (Sumatran orangutan)
Lineage: Eukaryota; Metazoa; Chordata; Mammalia; Primates; Hominidae
Description: processed transcript
Source: RNAcentral
GGACUACAGGUGCGUUUGCCACCACACCUAGCUAAUUUUUGUUUUUUGUAGAGGUGGGGUUUCGCCAAGCGGCCCAAGCUGAUCUUGAACUCCUGAGCUCAAUCAAUUCUCCCGCCUCGGCCUCCCAAAGUGUUGGGAUUACAGGCGUGAGCUACUGCACCCAUCCCAAAGAAUAUUUUUGGAACCAGCUUCUCCAUGGGUUCCAGCCAUCCCUGGCAGACGCCUUGGCCAGCAGCCUAAGAACGGUUGCCCCUCAGGAAAGAAACUGACAGCUUUGCGGUUCUGUAUUGAAGGCUGCCCUCCCUACCACCGGAAGUGACUCCCCUCAGCAAGGUCAAGGUGGCUCACGUGUCCCAGCACCCUUUCAUCUCUGCCCUUCUCUCUCGUUGAGUAACAGCAUGGCGUGACAUGAGGGCUCUCUAGCCAUGGCCUUGCAGCCCUCUUGGAACGUGCGCAUCGACCCCAGUAGCCUGUCCUUCAACAUGUGGAAGGAGAUCCCCAUCCCCUUUUAUCUCUCCGUCUACUUCUUUGACGUCAUAAACCCCAAUGAGAUCCUGAAGGGCGAGAAGCCGCAGGUGCGGGAGCGCGGGCCCUACGUGUACAGGGAGUUCAGGCACAAGACCAACAUCACCUUCAACAACAACGACACCGUGUCCUUCCUCGAGUACCGCACCUUCCAGUUCCAGCCCUCCAAGUCCCACGGCUCAGAGAGCGACUACAUCGUCAUGCCUAACAUCCUGGUCUUGGGUGCGGCGGUGAUGAUGGAGGAUAAGCCCAUGACCCUGAAGCUCAUCAUGACCUUGGCAUUCACCACCCUCGGGGAACGCGCCUUCAUGAACCGCACUGUGGGUGAGGUCAUGUGGGGCUACAAGGACCCCCUCGUGAACCUCAUCAACAAGUACUUUCCAGGCAUGUUCCCCUUUAAGGACAAGUUCGGAUUAUUUGCUGAGCUCAACAACUCUGACUCUGGGCUCUUCACGGUGUUCACGGGGGUCCAGAACAUCAGCAGGAUCCACCUCGUGGACAAGUGGAACGGGCUGAGCAAGGUUGACUUCUGGCAUUCCGAUCAGUGCAACAUGAUCAAUGGAACUUCUGGGCAAAUGUGGCCACCCUUCAUGACUCCUGAGUCCUCGCUGGAGUUCUACAGCCCUGAGGCCUGCCGAUCCAUGAAGCUAAUGUACAAGGAGUCAGGGGUGUUUGAAGGCAUCCCCACCUAUCGCUUCGUGGCUCCCAAAACCCUGUUUGCCAACGGGUCCAUCUACCCACCCAACGAAGGCUUCUGCCCGUGCCUGGAGUCUGGAAUUCAGAACGUCAGCACCUGCAGGUUCAGUGCCCCCUUGUUUCUCUCCCAUCCUCACUUCCUCAACGCCGACCCGGUUCUGGCAGAAGCGGUGACUGGCCUGCAUCCUAACCAGGAGGCACACUCCUUGUUCCUGGACAUCCACCCGGUCACGGGAAUCCCCAUGAACUGCUCUGUGAAACUGCAGCUGAGCCUCUACAUGAAAUCUGUCGCAGGCAUUGGACAAACUGGGAAGAUUGAGCCGGUGGUCCUGCCGCUGCUCUGGUUUGCAGAGAGUGGGGCCAUGGAGGGGGAGACUCUUCACACAUUCUACACCCAGCUGGUGUUGAUGCCCAACGUGAUGCACUAUGCCCAGUACGUCCUCCUGGCGCUGGGCUGCGUCCUGCUGCUGGUCCCUGUCAUCUGCCAAAUCCGGAGCCAAGAGAAAUGCUAUUUAUUUUGGAGUAGUAGUAAAAAGGGCUCAAAGGAUAAGGAGGCCAUUCAGGCCUAUUCUGAAUCCCUGAUGACAUCAGCUCCCAAGGGCUCUGUGCUGCAGGAAGCAAAACUGUAG